GUGAGGGUCUUUCUGGCUCAGAGAAAUAAAACAGCACUAUGUUAAAGUGAUUCGCAACAGGAUAAGAAGAAACAGCUGCAGCCUACUCUUCUUGCCUUUGUGCAGUGAAACUGGCAGCAUUUACUGUUGCUGUUAUGCAUUUAUUGUGAAAUUGCUGUACUAGUUGGGAGACAUUGAAUCCUGGCUGACUGUGUACAACUGGCUUCUUUGCUUUGAAUGAAGAAAAAAGUGGACUUAUGGCUUUUUCCUCUUUCUUUCUCUGUCUCCUGUACAUAAUCUCAUUUUCUCUGUGAAGACAACAGAAAGUGAACAAGUAUCUGGGAACAUUAAUCCUGCUUCCAAAGGAAACACUCUUUUCUAUUUUUAAGGAUUAACAACUCAAGAGAUUCCAUAAGCCAUGUGACGUUUUUUGCAGUAUUUGGAUUUUUUUUUCCGUUCUGGGUACAAGAUAAAUUAUUUUUCACCACUGAAGUCCAAAGAUCAUCAUAACUCACUAUAAGGAGAAGGACCAAAAGAACAUUAUCGUACACCUGAACAUCAGUUUGGCUGUCUUGCCAACUGAUUCUGUUUUGCGGAGCACUUCAAGGUGAAUAACAUGCGAGUUUCCACAUAUAAAAGGACAUCAGAAAUGGAAAGGAAGAAUCCCUGCAGACAGGACGAAAACUCUCGAAUUUCUGCAUAAUACAAUGUCUACGCUUCAGUGGGAGAAAGCAGCAUCAGUAUUUGUUUCUUCAGUAUAAAUGAGCUGAUUUUUACCUGCACUCAUCAAACGUCAAGACUGCUACUUUCCUCAUUUUUUUUUUACAACACCAGUUUGUUACAUUUGGUGCUAAUAUGGAAGAAACACACAAACAGUUUAUACACAAUCUUCAGGGAACUUACAUGUGUAUUUAUACAUUUCAUGCGUGAAGUAUAAAAAACAGCCCUUAUCACAGUCUUUUGACAUUUGUUAGCAAAACUCCACAGAGCCUGUCUUCCUCGUAUCUUUGAUAUGCAUAAAGAAAAACUAUUUCAAUUUUAAGCAACACUGAAUACACAGUGGUUCAGAUUAUCACUGCUCGUCAGGAAUGUUGACCCAUUUUUAUUACUUUUAAAAUGAUGAAGCUGACAACAAAACUAAAAUAAGAUUAUUAAUACUUGAAUGAUUGACGGACUUCAAUCACUAGGACGCAAACAUUUGCACAACGAUGGAAAAAGAGGGACAGACACAACUGUAUCUAAUUAUCUCAUGUGAAAAAAUAAAUUUUUUUCUCGUUAAAUCGAUAAAAUGAAUGACAUUUUAAUCAUAACCUGAAUACAGACGUACCAGAAUCAGACUAAAUGAAUAUAAAUAAAUGAAUUUCACUUGUCAGUCCAGCUGUAUAUAUUACAAGAUGAUUUCUGAUUUAUGAUAAAAGUAGAUAACUGAUCUAUAAAUGAGUAUACAAAUUGUAAAACAGGGCUCAAGUUAAUAAGAUGCGGUUCACAAACUGAUAAAACCUAAUUUGUUAGAUAUCCUCCAAAGAGGCCCUGCAUUAUCGAAACUGUGCCUUUUGAAAAAGCUAGUGAAUAAACCAACACAGCAAAAAGGAGAAGUCAUUCAGAUGCUUCUGAAUAUAUAAUUCGUCUUUGAAUACUGAAGCAAGAAAGCUCUGCAAGUAAAUGACAAGUAAUAAAGCGUG
Protopterus annectens (West African lungfish) is the source of this 1661-nucleotide long non-coding RNA. RefSeq lists it as uncharacterized. The record is from RefSeq and is a predicted model, not a curated record. Lineage: Eukaryota; Metazoa; Chordata; Ceratodontiformes; Protopteridae. The transcript is spliced from 3 exons.